GGGAGUAUAGUUCAGUGACAGAGUGUUUGCCUAGCAUGCAUAUGGCCCUGGGUUCAAUUCCCAGUACAACAA
This 72-nucleotide transfer RNA is filed under the name Ictidomys tridecemlineatus (thirteen-lined ground squirrel). RNAcentral's name for it is "Spermophilus tridecemlineatus (thirteen-lined ground squirrel) tRNA". It matches the Rfam family "tRNA". Rfam says of the family: Transfer RNA (tRNA) molecules are approximately 80 nucleotides in length. Their secondary structure includes four short double-helical elements and three loops (D, anti-codon, and T loops). Further hydrogen bonds mediate the characteristic L-shaped molecular structure. tRNAs have two regions of fundamental functional importance: the anti-codon, which is responsible for specific mRNA codon recognition, and the 3' end, to which the tRNAs corresponding amino acid is attached (by aminoacyl-tRNA synthetases). tRNAs cope with the degeneracy of the genetic code in two manners: having more than one tRNA (with a specific anti-codon) for a particular amino acid; and 'wobble' base-pairing, i.e. permitting non-standard base-pairing at the 3rd anti-codon position. The record is from Rfam by way of RNAcentral. Lineage: Eukaryota; Metazoa; Chordata; Mammalia; Rodentia; Sciuridae.